CUGCGUGGGGGCACCCUGACCGCGAUGCCGCGUGGGUGAUGAAGGCCUUCGGGUUGUAAAGCCCUUUCGGCGGGGACGAUAGUGACGGUACCCGCAGAAGAAGCCUCGGCUAACUCCGUGCCGGCAGCCGCGGUAAGACGGAGGAGGCUAGCGUUGUUCGGAAUUACUGGGCGUAAAGCGCGCGCAGGCGGCUUAGCAAGUCAGGGGUGAAAGCCCGGGGCUCAACCUCGGAACUGCCUUUGAGACUGCUAGGCUCGAGACCGAGAGAGGAGAGUGGAAUUCCCAGUGUAGAGGUGAAAUUCGUAGAUAUUGGGAAGAACACCAGUGGCGAAGGCGGCUCUCUGGCUCGGUACUGACGCUGAGGCGCGAAA
Molecule: ribosomal RNA, 371 nt
Filed under: uncultured bacterium
Lineage: Bacteria
Description: bacterial SSU rRNA
Rfam family: Bacterial small subunit ribosomal RNA
Source: RNAcentral